RNAcentral lists this ribosomal RNA (636 nucleotides) under Salmonella enterica subsp. enterica serovar Warragul. RNAcentral describes it as "partial 23S ribosomal RNA". It matches the Rfam family "Bacterial large subunit ribosomal RNA", at positions 911 to 1547 of the family's 2925-position model. Lineage: Bacteria; Pseudomonadati; Pseudomonadota; Gammaproteobacteria; Enterobacterales; Enterobacteriaceae. The record is from RNAcentral.
UGUUUCGGCUAGGGGGCCAUCCCGGCUUACCAACCCGAUGCAAACUGCGAAUACCGGAGAAUGUUAUCACGGGAGACACACGGCGGGUGCUAACGUCCGUCGUGAAGAGGGAAACAACCCAGACCGCCAGCUAAGGUCCCAAAGUCAUGGUUAAGUGGGAAACGAUGUGGGAAGGCCCAGACAGCCAGGAUGUUGGCUUAGAAGCAGCCAUCAUUUAAAGAAAGCGUAAUAGCUCACUGGUCGAGUCGGCCUGCGCGGAAGAUGUAACGGGGCUAAACCAUGCACCGAAGCUGCGGCAGCGACGCUUAUGCGUUGUUGGGUAGGGGAGCGUUCUGUAAGCCUGCGAAGGUGGCCUGUGAGGGUUGCUGGAGGUAUCAGAAGUGCGAAUGCUGACAUAAGUAACGAUAAAGCGGGUGAAAAGCCCGCUCGCCGGAAGACCAAGGGUUCCUGUCCAACGUUAAUCGGGGCAGGGUGAGUCGACCCCUAAGGCGAGGCCGAAAGGCGUAGUCGAUGGGAAACGGGUUAAUAUUCCCGUACUUGGUGUUACUGCGAAGGGGGGACGGAGAAGGCUAUGUUGGCCGGGCGACGGUUGUCCCGGUUUAAGCGUGUAGGUGUGUGUUCCAGGUAAAUCCGGUU